AGAAUGAACGCUGGCGGCGUGCUUUACACAUGCAAGUCGAGCGAGGCGUGUAGCAAUACACAGCCCUAGCGGCGAACGGGUGAGUAACGCGUGGAUGACCUGCCCUUCAGCGGGGGAAUAACCCGGGGGAAACUCGGGCUAAUACCGCAUACGACCGAGAGGUGAAAGGGGGCCGCAAGGCUCUCACUGGAAGGAGGGGUCCGCGUUCGAUUAGCUAGUUGGUAGGGUAAUGGCCUACAAGGCGACGAUCGAUAGCCGGCCUGAGAGGGUGAUCGGCCACACUGGAACUGAGACACGGUCCAGACUCCUACGGGAGGCAGCAGUGGGAAUUUGCGCAAUGGGCUAACGCCUGACGCAGCAACGCCGCGUGGAGGAUGAAGGUCUUGGAUUGUAAACUCUGUCAGCAGGAAAAGGACACGACCUCAUACGUCGUGAACUUGAUUGUACCUGCAGAGGAACGCCCGGCUAACUCUGUCGCCAGCACGCCGCGGUAAUCUA
RNAcentral lists this ribosomal RNA (498 nucleotides) under uncultured soil bacterium. RNAcentral's name for it is "bacterial SSU rRNA". It matches the Rfam family "Bacterial small subunit ribosomal RNA", at positions 26 to 527 of the family's 1533-position model. The record is from RNAcentral.